This 956-nucleotide non-coding RNA is filed under the name Propithecus perrieri (Perrier's sifaka). Its description in RNAcentral is "12S ribosomal RNA". It matches the Rfam family "Bacterial small subunit ribosomal RNA". Lineage: Eukaryota; Metazoa; Chordata; Mammalia; Primates; Indriidae. The record is from RNAcentral.
CACAGGUCUGGUCCUAGCCUUCUUAUUAGUUAUCAGUAGGAUUACACAUGCAAGUAACCGCAUCCCAGUGAGAAUGCCCUCUAGAUCCCUACGAUCAAAAGGAGCGGGCAUCAAGCACGCCAAAUGGCUGCUCACCACGCCUUGCUAAACCACACCCCCACGGGAUACAGCAGUGACAAAACUUAAGCAAUUAACGAAAGUUAGACUGAGCCNNACUGAUACCCAGGGUUGGUAAAUUUCGUGCCAGCCACCGCGGUCAUACGAUUAACCCAAACUAAUUCAACACGGCGUAAAGUGUGUUUAAGAAUAUCAUCAAAUAAAGUUAAAUUUUAUCUAAGCCGUAAAAUGCUCCAGCUAAAAAUAAAAUAGACCACGAAAGUGACUUUAGCACCCUGAAAACACGACAGCCAAGACCCAAACUGGGAUUAGAUACCCCACUAUGCUUAGCCAUAAACUUAAGUAGUUGAUAAACAAUACUACUCGCCAGAGUACUACAAGCAAUAGCUCAAAACUCAAAGGACUUGGCGGUGCUUUAUAUCCCCCUAGAGGAGCCUGUUCUAUAAUCGAUAAACCCCGAUAGACCCUACCACUUCUUGCUAAUUCAAUCUAUAUACCGCCAUCCCCAGCAAACCCUAUCAAGGCCCCAAAGUAAGCGCAAGCAUAUCACAUAAAAACGUUAGGUCAAGGUGUAGUCUAUGAAGUGGGAAGAAAUGGGCUACAUUUUCUAAUAACAGAACAGAAUAUAUUACAACAACCUUUAUGAAACUAAAGGCCUAAGGAGGAUUUAGCAGUAAAUUAAGAAUAGAGAGCUUGAUUGAACAGGGCCAUGAAGCACGCACACACCGCCCGUCACCCUCCUCUAAAAUUCCACUACCAAUUCCUUAAUUAUUACCCAAAAUAUAAGAGGAGAUAAGUCGUAACAAGGUAAGCAUACUGGAAAGUGUGCUUGGAAUACU